Molecule: long non-coding RNA, 409 nt
Filed under: Drosophila guanche
Lineage: Eukaryota; Metazoa; Arthropoda; Insecta; Diptera; Drosophilidae
Source: RNAcentral
GUCGUUGUUGACUGUGAAACGGCAUGAUUGUCGUUGUUUAAAUCUUAUUACUUUAUUGCGUUCAGCUCGUGUAUCUUCUAACUCUAAAUUCUAACUUCAUCAGUAUUUUGUUGCUGGAUUUGUUCUUCGGUUCUUUCGGAUCUUCCAUUUACCAAGCUUCGAGAUUUACUUUUAUUCCGGCUCAAAUCAGUCCCUUUUCCUUUUCUUGGCAUUGUUUGCUGUAGAAAACACCCAUCCAGUGCAGUGCGCUUGUGUGUGUAGCUAAACACGAAGAUGCCUACGCCAAAUACGGUUUAUAGCUUUACACUGGGCGAAGGGAUAUAUGACAAAAAUGUUAUGUGUCAUGCGUCCUAUACCCUCUAGAAUUAAAGAAAAAUUUUAAGGGUGGACAACCCUAAUCGGAUAUGUC